GACAGAGGUGCCGAGCGUUAGGCGGAAUCACUGGGCUUAAAGCGUGUGUAGGCGGACCGUUAAGUGUCUUGUGAAAUCCCCCGGCUCAACCGGGGAAUGGCUGGGCAUACUGGCGAUCUUGAGCAGUCUAGGGGCAGAUGGAACAAGUGGUGGAGCGGUGAAAUGCGUAGAUAUCACUUGGAACGCCAAAGGUGAAAACAGUCUGCUGGGGACUUGCUGACGCUGAGACACGAAAGCCAGGGGAGCGAACGGG
Molecule: ribosomal RNA, 253 nt
Filed under: uncultured bacterium
Lineage: Bacteria
Description: partial 16S ribosomal RNA
Rfam family: Bacterial small subunit ribosomal RNA
Source: RNAcentral